ACGAGUUUGAUCAUGGCUCAGAACGAACGCUGGCGGCAGGCCUAACACAUGCAAGUCGAGCGCCCCGCAAGGGGAGCGGCGGACGGGUGAGUAACGCGUGGGAACGUACCCUUUGCUACGGAAUAGCCUCGGGAAACUGGGAGUAAUACCGUAUGGUGUCUUCGGACUAAAGAUUUAUCGCCAAAGGAUCGGCCCGCGUUGGAUUAGGUAGUUGGUGGGGUAAUGGCCUACCAAGCCGACGAUCCAUAACUGGUUUGAGAGGAUGAUCAGCCACACUGGGACUGAGACACGGCCCAGACUCCUACGGGAGGCAGCAGGUGGGGAAUCUUAGACAAUGGGGGCAACCCUGAUCUAGCCAUGCCGCGUGAGUGAUGAAGGCCCUAGGGUUGUAAAGCUCUUUCAGCUGGGAAGAUAAUGACGGUACCAGCAGAAGAAGCCCCGGCUAACUCCGUG
Molecule: ribosomal RNA, 453 nt
Filed under: uncultured bacterium
Lineage: Bacteria
Description: bacterial SSU rRNA
Rfam family: Bacterial small subunit ribosomal RNA
Source: RNAcentral